UCCAGACUCCUACGGGAGGCAGCAGUGGGGGAUAUUGCACAAUGGGGGGAACCCUGAUGCAGCGACGCCGCGUGGGUGAAGGAGCGUUUCGGCGCGUAAAGCCCCAUCGGCAGGGAAGAAGGAGGACGGUACCUGACUAAGAAGCCCCGGCUAACUACGUGCCAGCAGCCGCGGUAAUACGUAGGGGGCAAGCGUUAUCCGGAUUUACUGGGUGUAAAGGGGGCGCAGACGGCAGCGCAAGCCAGGAGUGAAAGCCCGGGGCCCAACCCCGGGACUGCUCUUGGAACUGCGCGGCUGGAGUGCAGGAGGGGCAGGCGGAAUUCCUGGUGUAGCGGUGAAAUGCGUAGAUAUCAGGAGGAACACCGGUGGCGAAGGCGGCCUGCUGGACUGCGACUGACGUUGAGGCCCGAAAGCGUGGGGAGCAAACAGGAUUAGAUACCCCGGUAC
This 447-nucleotide ribosomal RNA is filed under the name uncultured bacterium. Its description in RNAcentral is "partial 16S ribosomal RNA". It matches the Rfam family "Bacterial small subunit ribosomal RNA", at positions 330 to 793 of the family's 1533-position model. The record is from RNAcentral.